GAAAUGCGAUAAGUAAUGUGAAUUGCAGAAUUCAGUGAAUCAUCGAAUCUUUGAACGCACCUUGCGCUCCUUGGUAUUCCUUGGAGCAUGCCUGUUUGAGUAUCAUGAAAUCUUCAAAGUAAAUCUUUUGUUAACUCAAUUGGUUUCUACUUUGGUAUUGGAGGUCUUUGCAGCUUCACACCUGCUCCUCUUUGUUCAUUAGCUGGAUCUCAGUGUUAUGCUUGGUUCCACUCGGCGUGAUAAGUUAUCUAUCGCUGAGGACACUGUAAAAGGUGGCAAAGGUAAAUGCAGAUGAACCGCUUCUAAUAGUCCAUUGACUUGGACAAUACUUUUAUGAUCUGAUAUCAAAUCAGGUAGGACUACCCGCUGAACUUAAGC
This 378-nucleotide unclassified non-coding RNA is filed under the name plant metagenome. RNAcentral's name for it is "partial contains 5.8S ribosomal RNA, internal transcribed spacer 2, and large subunit ribosomal RNA". The stretch from base 1 to 105 matches the Rfam family "5.8S ribosomal RNA", at positions 50 to 154 of the family's 154-position model. The record is from RNAcentral.